RNAcentral lists this ribosomal RNA (520 nucleotides) under uncultured Glomus. RNAcentral's name for it is "SSU rRNA". It matches the Rfam family "Eukaryotic small subunit ribosomal RNA", at positions 569 to 1090 of the family's 1831-position model. The record is from RNAcentral. Lineage: Eukaryota; Fungi; Glomeromycota; Glomeromycetes; Glomerales; Glomeraceae.
AGCAGCCGCGGUAAUUCCAGCUCCAAUAGCGUAUAUUAAAGUUGUUGCAGUUAAAAAGCUCGUAGUUGAAUUUCGGGAUCAAUACGUCGGUCGUGCUUAGGUACGUACUGGCGUAAUUGAUUUCUCCCUUCUGACGAACCAUGAUGUCAUUAACUUGGUGUCAUGGGAAAUCAGGACUGUUACUUUGAAAAAAUUAGAGUGUUUAAAGCAGGCUCACGCUUGAAUACAUUAGCAUGGAAUAAUGAAAUAGGACGUUCGAUCCUAUUUUGUUGGUUUUUAGGAUCAACGUAAUGAUUAAUAGGGAUAGUUGGGGGCAUUAGUAUUCAAUUGUCAGAGGUGAAAUUCUUGGAUUUAUUGAAGACUAACUACUGCGAAAGCAUUUGCCAAGGAUGUUUUCAUUAAUCAAGAACGAAAGUUAGGGGAUCGAAGACGAUUAGAUACCGUCGUAGUCUUAACCGUAAACUAUGCCGACUAGGGAUCGGAUGAUGUUAAUUUUUUAAUGUACUCAUUCGGCGCCUUA